GACGAACGCUGGCGGCGUGCCUAAUACAUGCAAGUCGAGCGAAUCACUGGGUGCUUGCUCCCGGUGGUUAGCGGCGGACGGGUGAGUAACACGUGGGCAACCUGCCUGUAAGAAUGGGAUAACACCGGGAACCCGGUGCUAAUACCGGAUAAUUCUUUUCUGCACAUGCAGGCAAGCUGAAAGUCGGUUUCGGCUGACACUUACAGAUGGGCCCGCGGCCGAUUAGCUAGCUGGUGAGGUAACGGCUCACCAAGGCGACGAUGCGUAGCCGACGUGAGGGGGUGAUCGGCCACACUGGGACUGAGACACGGCCCGGACUCCUACGGGAGGCAGCGGUAGGGAAUCUUCCACAAUGGACGAAAGUCGGAUGGAGCAACGCCGCGUGGGCGAUGAAGGCCUUCGGGUCGUAAAGCUCUGUUGUUAGGGAAGAACAAGUACCGGAGUAACUGCCGGUACCUUGACGGUACCUAACCAGAAAGCCACGGCUAACUACGUGCCAGCAGCCGCGGUAA
RNAcentral lists this ribosomal RNA (512 nucleotides) under uncultured bacterium. RNAcentral describes it as "partial 16S ribosomal RNA". It matches the Rfam family "Bacterial small subunit ribosomal RNA", at positions 28 to 523 of the family's 1533-position model. The record is from RNAcentral.